RNAcentral lists this ribosomal RNA (500 nucleotides) under uncultured bacterium. RNAcentral's name for it is "partial 16S ribosomal RNA". It matches the Rfam family "Bacterial small subunit ribosomal RNA", at positions 30 to 523 of the family's 1533-position model. The record is from RNAcentral.
AUUGAACGCUGGCGGCAUGCCUUACACAUGCAAGUCGAACGGUAACGGGUCCUUCGGGAUGCCGACGAGUGGCGAACGGGUGAGUAAUAUAUCGGAACGUGCCCAGUAGUGGGGGAUAACUGCUCGAAAGAGCAGCUAAUACCGCAUACGACCUGAGGGUGAAAGGGGGGGAUCGCAAGACCUCCCGCUAUUGGAGCGGCAGAUAUCAGAUUAGCUAGUUGGUGGGGUAAAGGCCUACCAAGGCAACGAUCUGUAGUUGGUCUGAGAGGACGACCAGCCACACUGGGACUGAGACACGGCCCAGACUCCUACGGGAGGCAGCAGUGGGGAAUUUUGGACAAUGGGCGCAAGCCUGAUCCAGCAAUGCCGCGUGCAGGAAGAAGGCCUUCGGGUUGUAAACUGCUUUUGUCAGGGAAGAAAUCUUCUGGGCUAAUACCCCGGGAGGAUGACGGUACCUGAAGAAUAAGCACCGGCUAACUACGUGCCAGCCGCCGCAGUAA